Molecule: non-coding RNA, 30 nt
Filed under: Mus musculus (house mouse)
Lineage: Eukaryota; Metazoa; Chordata; Mammalia; Rodentia; Muridae
Source: RNAcentral
UUCCAGCGUAGCUGUUGGCAGCGUCCCGCC